RNAcentral lists this microRNA precursor (201 nucleotides) under Oryza glumipatula. Its description in RNAcentral is "MIR812 microRNA precursor family". It matches the Rfam family "MIR812 microRNA precursor family". Lineage: Eukaryota; Viridiplantae; Streptophyta; Magnoliopsida; Poales; Poaceae. The record is from Rfam by way of RNAcentral.
AAAAAGACAAACCCUAGUUUCCGUGUCUAACGUUUGACUGUCCGUCUUAUUUAAAAAAAUUAUGAAAAAAUUAAAAAGAUAAGUCACGCAUAAAAUAUUAAUCAUUUAUCAUCUAACAACAAUGAAAAUACUAAUUAUAAAAAAAGUUUUAUAUAAGACGGACAGUCAAACGUUGGCACGGAAACCCAUGUUUUACCUAUU